GUCACAAGGUUUGAAGGCCCUCGCUUCGGCAACGAAGCGGGGGCCUUUCCUUUUGCGCGCAGCCAUUACGCAUGGCGG
Molecule: unclassified non-coding RNA, 78 nt
Filed under: Novosphingobium sp. KN65.2
Lineage: Bacteria; Pseudomonadati; Pseudomonadota; Alphaproteobacteria; Sphingomonadales; Sphingomonadaceae
Description: ctRNA_p42d
Source: RNAcentral